Molecule: RNA transcript, 1615 nt
Organism: Drosophila nasuta
Lineage: Eukaryota; Metazoa; Arthropoda; Insecta; Diptera; Drosophilidae
Gene: Syb
Gene name: Vesicle-associated membrane protein synaptobrevin
Exons: 5
Source: RefSeq, a predicted model, not a curated record
UAUCGAUAUUUCUGCACUUCUACUACUCAAAUUAACAACGUUGCGUUACUGACAUUUUCGAUCAAAAUCAAAAGAAAAUUGCAACAAGAAACUUAAGGCAAGAAAAUAGAAAGCAGCCGUGAAAUAAGUCAAUUAAUUGUAUAAUUAACGCUUAGCAGCUUUAACAUAGAAAACAACGCACAAAGAUGGAGAACAACGAGUCACCCGCACCUUCUGGUUCCAACAACAAUGAUUUUCCCAUACUUCCGCCACCGCCAAACAACAACAACUACAACAACUUUAACGAUCCGUCGAACAGCAACAACAAUGCCGCCCAGAAGCGCCUGCAGCAGACACAGGCCAAAGUGGACGAAGUCGUUGGCAUUAUGCGCGUGAAUGUCGAGAAAGUGCUGGAACGUGAUCAGAAACUAUCGGAGCUGGGAGAGCGUGCCGAUCAAUUGGAACAGGGUGCCUCACAGUUUGAGCAGCAGGCGGGCAAACUGAAGCGCAAGCAAUGGUGGGCCAACAUGAAGAUGAUGAUCAUUCUGGGCGUCAUCGCUGUGGUCUUGCUCAUCAUCAUCAUAGUCUCAAUAUACAAUUGAUAAACACGAGAAAUAGAUAAAAACAAAAGUCUAAAAAAAACGUGCAGCAAGGCAACUUGUUGAACUUGCAACAUUACGCAUUACUCUAAGGCAGCUACUACCACAUACAUACACGCACACACACGCAGAUACAAAUCAAAAUUUAUGUAUUUGUGAACUAAAAAAAACAGUAUAAUAUAAAUGAAAACGUUUAUAGUCGAAAGGUAAAAAAAAAACAUUCGUCGUUUCGUGUUCUAUGUGCUAAUUUGUUUAUUUGCCCCGUUUAUAAGCCAAGUUAGCAACGAGAUAAUUUUUGUUUUAUAACUUGUACAUAUAGAUUUUGCGCCUUGCCAUCGAGCGACAGCAGCAGCAGCAACAGCGUUAAGGCAACGGAGCACGCCACGUAAGACGCCUCUUGCCACGCCCCCCCAAAAGCAACAUUCAGCAACAAAACCAGAAAGAAACUAACAACGAGGAAAAUGCGAUAGAACGAAACUCUGUUGCCUUCUGUAUUGGCCUUAUGUCUAAAGAAAACUUGUCUAAAAAACAAUUAAUAUUAACAAAACUUCAAAACCGAUUGUAAUUGUUAUUAAUAAUCCUUCGUCAAUGUUACCAACAAAACAUUAUAUGCACAAUUAACUAUUGUAAACGCAACAAUUUUGAUGCCAACCCUUUGCUGGCAUCGUUAAGAAAAUCGUUAAAAAAAAACAAUAAUAAUAAUGAGGCAUUUGAAAUGUCAAUGUGCGUGUGUGUGUGUGUGUAUGUGAACGUGAGAGGAUUUUCCUUUUGCAGCACAACAAAAAAAAAAAGAAAGAAAGAAAACUACAUUUAUAUAUACACAUAAUUGUAAACACCAGACAAACACACAACACAACGCGAUUGUUCUAUAAAUUAUUUAUACUUGUGUGGAACAAUUUAUACUUUAUACAUAUACAUAUAUCUAUAUAUAAUACAUAUAAACUUAAUGGCAUGUAAUUUGUUAUAAAAAAAAAAACAAACCAAACUUUUCGGUGUUGAAACUAAAUGUAUUGCAACGUACGUUUGCCACAAAGAAA